This 459-nucleotide ribosomal RNA is filed under the name uncultured organism. RNAcentral's name for it is "partial 16S ribosomal RNA". It matches the Rfam family "Bacterial small subunit ribosomal RNA", at positions 334 to 801 of the family's 1533-position model. The record is from RNAcentral.
CACUCCUGCGGGAGGCAGCAGUGGGGAAUAUUGCACAAUGGGCGCAAGCCUGAUGCAGCGACGCCGCGUGGGGGAUGAAGGCCUUCGGGUUGUAAACUCCUUUCGCUAGGGACGAAGCUUUUUUGUGACGGUACCUAGAUAAGAAGCACCGGCUAACUACGUGCCAGCAGCCGCGGUAAUACGUAGGGUGCGAGCGUUGUCCGGAAUUACUGGGCGUAAAGGGCUCGUAGGUGGUUUGUCGCGUCGUCUGUGAAAUUCUGGGGCUUAACUCCGGGCGUGCAGGCGAUACGGGCAUAACUUGAGUGCUGUAGGGGUAACUGGAAUUCCUGGUGUAGCGGUGAAAUGCGCAGAUAUCAGGAGGAACACCGAUGGCGAAGGCAGGUUACUGGGCAGUUACUGACGCUGAGGAGCGAAAGCAUGGGUAGCGAACAGGAUUAGAUACCCCAGUAGUCCCAUGAU